UACGGAGGGUGCAAGCGUUGUCCGGAUUUAUUGGGUUUAAAGGGUGCGUAGGCGGGGUUUCAAGUCUGGUUUGAAAGUUAGCUGCUCAACAGUUAGACGUGGCUGGAUACUGGGGUUCUGGAGUGGGUUGGCGGCUGCCGGAAUGGGUGAUGUAGCGGUGAAAUGCAUAGAUAUGACCAAGAACACCGAUUGCGAAGGCAGGCAGCUACGACCUGAUUGACACUGAGGCACGAGAGCAUGGGUAGCAAACAGG
RNAcentral lists this ribosomal RNA (253 nucleotides) under uncultured bacterium. RNAcentral describes it as "partial 16S ribosomal RNA". It matches the Rfam family "Bacterial small subunit ribosomal RNA", at positions 524 to 776 of the family's 1533-position model. The record is from RNAcentral.